UUGGAUUGGCGCAUACAUGCAAAUACGCAUUUCAUUGCACUUGUGCAUAUGACAAUAAACUGAACUGGUCUGGCUCCAGAAAAAUUCCCUACUGUAUAAAUGGAGAUUAAUGUGAGAUGCCUUUGAAUUGGUGCCACGCUGGGGAUAUAAUUAUGCAAUCUUUUAUUGAACAGAUGAAGCUCACAAACUUCCACUGCUGCCACUAAAAAAAUAUCCCCCAAACUGGCACAGACUUUACACAACAGGGCCCUCUAGUGGCUAAUACCAUUCACAGCAGGAAUGAAGGUAAUGAAGCUGUUUAUUAGUAGCUGUAUUACAGCUAACGUAUGUACAAUAUUUAGUAGUUCAGGUGGGGAGCUGCGUCAGCAUGCGUAGGCUUGCAAAGGAACAAGUAAUAGGUUUAUUCCCUGCUGAAAAAAAAGAAGAAAGAAAACACAACGUUUCGGCCGUGGAGCCUUCUUCAGGUGUGCAGGGCAAAAUCGGCGCCGCAUCAUCGAUCGGCGUCCACGGCAACGCGCCGGCUCACACGGCCCCACCCACACCGGAGACGGCAUUCCUUACUCUGAGCUAUCACACGGAAUGUUUGCUGUUUGAGGGGGAGUCACGUAAGGAAUGAGAUGACCAAGAUAUCUAAGAAAAAAUAUCUGCAAUUCAAAGGCAUUAUCUCCUGUACUUCACAAGUAAGUUCUGUGCUGUCGUGGUCUGAGGAAACUGAAUCCAGCAAGCGGAGUUCCCAGGGGAACCUACUGGUACCACUUUCUGUGCUAAAGACAUACAUGGUGCAUGAUGGGUCAAACACAUUUCCUCUAGAUCAGGGGUAGCCAGCCCAGUCCCAGCCUGGAGAGCUACUGCCCAGCAGCUCUCUUUUACACCUGAACCUCGUACGCGUUUAAAUUUUGACUUGGAAAAUGUGUGAAUCCUGAACAAUUUAGUAAGUUAACUGAUUCGGUUAACUCAGGUAAUGACUGCUUGUGGUCUUUUAAAGGGAGUGGAGGAAGCUGAUAUUUUUAUUUUAGAUCAUCUAAAAAUCGUUUGAUUAGACAGCAACCAGAUGCAGUGGUCAGAACAAAGGUGUUUUGCAGUUGAGUGUUUGAGGAGUGACGUGUUCUAUUGGAGCUCCCCCUGACCAAGGUCGGGGCGCCCCUGUCCCCAGAUACAGCAGCACCCACAUCAGUGUCUCGUCAAUAGUGAUUGUCAUCUCAAAGCACUUUGCGAAGGCGUGUGUCACAAUAGGACGAUAGUAAAAAAAUACAUAGCAGACGAGUAAUAUAGAAAGUACAUCAAGCAAUCGUUAGGUUUCAGAAAAACAACAAAAACUAUUCAGAUGAGCCGCUAACGAACGAUUAGGACAUGACUCAGUUGUAAGCUCUUGAAAUUUGAAGAACUUGCUCAACUCACACCUUUACAAGAAACUACAGUAGCAGAGUGACUUUCAAAGCUUAUUUAUGAAGUGUAAAAUUCAUAUUUAAUUUUUCAUUCCAAGAGAGUGUUUUGCAAAAUGGAGAA
Molecule: long non-coding RNA, 1506 nt
Filed under: Lepisosteus oculatus (spotted gar)
Lineage: Eukaryota; Metazoa; Chordata; Actinopteri; Semionotiformes; Lepisosteidae
Description: lncRNA (ENSLOCG00000022677.1)
Source: RNAcentral